AUCCAGCUGACGAAUCCCGAAUAAGGCGAAGCAUGCGUCCUGGAU
This 45-nucleotide non-coding RNA is filed under the name Schistosoma mattheei. The record is from RNAcentral. Lineage: Eukaryota; Metazoa; Platyhelminthes; Trematoda; Strigeidida; Schistosomatidae.